Molecule: long non-coding RNA, 1601 nt
Organism: Lolium rigidum
Lineage: Eukaryota; Viridiplantae; Streptophyta; Magnoliopsida; Poales; Poaceae
Exons: 2
Source: RefSeq, a predicted model, not a curated record
GAGACGCCGCCACCAAUCUCGCCGCCAGGUCCGUUGACCCCGAAGCAUGAAUUAUGUCCGUGUGUUGUUCCACUCUGUCGGCCUUCGUUUCUUACUGAAAUCCAUAGGCUGAUGCAAUGUAGCUUUAGCCUUUACUGCUUGUGAAAUCUUUGCCAGAAACUUAUCCGUUCCCUGAAUAGGCUGUAAACGCUGUAAGAAAACAUGAUCAUUUCCCUUCUUACUGAAGUCCAUAGUUUGAUGCAACGUAGCUUUAGCCUUCUUUUCCUGAACCUUUUCCGUUUCUCUAGAAUGGGGCUGCGGCUUGUUGAUCUAAAAAUAUCUUACUGAAGUAUUUUGGAAGUAAUCAUUGAUAAAUGCAUCAGCUUCUAUGGUCUAAGAUGCAAUUGCUUUUGUUAAUUCAGUUUCCUCUUUCAUACUAAUACUUGGGUGUGCUUACUGAAUUAGUCUUAGCUGAAGAGUUCUUGUGUGGCAAGUCAACACUCAAUGUCUGAAAUUUACAUGGAGACAUUAAAUUUAAUAUUACAAUAACGUCUGUUAUGUGUGGUUUCCAUGCGGAAUAUGCAUAAUCUUCUCAUAUAACAGUCCACACUGCUUUAUAAAUUGGGAUGUUAAAAUUGUCAGUUGGAUUACCAUUUUUGGAUAACUUCUGCAGUCCAUUAAUUUGUAAUUUCAGAAUUCUGUCAUAAUAUGCUCCUCUUAAUUUUUCAGUGUUCGGCUUGUUGAUGUAGUAAAGACAGCUAUGAUUGAAUCAGGCUGCCUUUUCUACUUAUGAACGGUUUACUAUUGCUUUUUCCUUAAAAGAUAUGUUUGAAACAAACAUAACAGGACAAAUAUAUCAACUAUCAUGUUCAUAUGAUAUGGCUAUUUGAAAAUUUAUUUUCAUUAUGAAAUUUCAUGACUGCUGAAUGUAUGAGAGUUGCUUGACCUAUCGCUUGAAACAACAUAUCCAUUUUACUGACGGGUGUUGAUCGACUCCGCCAUGUUUCUUUGUAAGACAUGAUUUUACUUGACUAGUAACAUGAGUCUUAUUUUUGUGAUUGCGGUUUUUGGACAUGGAUGGUCAAGGUGCUGGCAAGGAGGAGGGUGAAGAGUAUCACCUCGUGGUUAGCAAGACCUUCAGAAGUGAGGACGAAGGAUAUGAGUUCUACAAUGAAUAUGCAAAAGUCAAAGGGUUCAGUAUUAGGAAUGAGGAGGAGUCCUCCAUGACUGUUGAUGCACAUCGCUGAUGUUCUCUUCAUUCCCCGGAUAGUAGCAUCAAUUAAGGCAUUCUGUUCUUUUGCUUCCUCCAAAGCAACAGACAUGGAAGUCAAGCUCUCAGUCAGCUUAGUUGUCUUUUGCUUGUAGACAUGGAUUUCCUGCAGGGACUCGUACAGACAGCUCUUCAUUGAACUUGACUCCCUUUUGAACUCCAAGAUCAGCAAUUCUUGGCGGGUUGCACUUUUACGUGAACUAGUUGUUGGUAAAACUGAAUGUAAUUGCAAGAGUGAUUCUACUUGCUUAAUUUAAUUGGUACUCAUUCUGCUGUCAAAUAAUUUGAAAUGUAAUAUUUCAGUCCGUUUGUAAACUGCGUUUAGCCAAUUUUACUCCUAGGCAUUGGUUUA